GCACAGGCAGGGAGGAGAACGGCAGCUCCCAGGCUUCCACUGGGGAGUCCCUCCGGCUUUCUCCGGGAUUCCGCCCGCCCCAGGGUCUCAGACCAACAGAAGGACCCGGGAUCCCUCAGCAGCUCCGGACCUCAUCUGCCCCACUUCGGCAUCCCGCGCGGGAAUAUGACCAUGUAGGAGUAACCCGGGGCUCUCAAGGACUCUACGGUUUGUCACGGUUUGAACGCAAGCGCAGGGCCUGGGGCGGGUGCAGGUGGAGGGUCGGCCUCUUUCUGCCCUUGGGAACGCCCCUUUCUGGAUGUGGACCGGCGAGGCGGUCUCUCCUUUCUGCCCUCGCCUGGUGAAAUGUGGGCACUGCUGCCAGGAGAAAAAAAACUGAAGCUGUGAAUUCAGUUCAUCACCCUUCCCUUGUUUAUUAAAAAAUCGGACCUUGGCCGGGCGCGGUGGCUCACGCCUGUAAUCCCAGCACUUUGGGAGGCCGAGGCAGGCAGAUUAGGAGGUCAGGAGAUCGAGACCAUCUUGGUUAACACGGUGAAGCCCGGUCUCUACUAAAAAUACAAAAAAGUUAGCAGGGUGGUGGCGGUCGCCUGUUGUCCCAGCUGCUCGGGAGGCUGAGGCAGGAGAAUGGCGUGAACCCGGGAGGCGGAGCUUGCAGUGAGCCGAGGUCGUGCCACUGCACUCCAGCCUGGGUGAAAAAAUAAAAAAAAAAAAAGAUCAGGACCUUUACCCGCGCUGACGGUGAUUGGUUUUCAUGACCAAUAAAGAAAUUCGAAUGAGAUGAAGCUACUUACACCUGUGUUUUUACUGUUCCUUUAAAAUGCCCUAAUUUCACAACCAUGUGAAAAUUCCUGCCAUCUCUCCCCCAAGGCAUUUAUACAA
RNAcentral lists this long non-coding RNA (879 nucleotides) under Homo sapiens (human). Its description in RNAcentral is "non-protein coding lnc-MCM10-4:3". Lineage: Eukaryota; Metazoa; Chordata; Mammalia; Primates; Hominidae. The record is from RNAcentral.